This is a long non-coding RNA of Zonotrichia leucophrys gambelii, 742 nucleotides long. RefSeq lists it as uncharacterized. The transcript has 3 exons. NCBI's taxonomy places the organism in Eukaryota, Metazoa, Chordata, Aves, Passeriformes, Passerellidae. The record is from RefSeq and is a predicted model, not a curated record.
GCGUCAGGCGGGCGUGGCCGGGCGGGCGGGGCCGGCUCGGAGCCGGCCGCGUCCUCCGCGCCGCUGCGUGAGGGGCUCGGAGGCGCCGCUCCGGUCGUGGGCGCACGGACGGGCCGCGGGCCGGAGGGAUCUCGUGGGGAUGGCGCCUUUCUCCCGCUAUGACCAGUGCGGCCUUUCCGGCAGGGACAGUGGGGAAAUUGCUGGGGAUGUCACUGGUCUGUGCUGCCGGGGCCGCCCCGUCGUCGCUGGGCAGGUCGCUAGUCUGAGGGUGCCCGUGACCCCGGUAGCGAGCUGCCCGCCGGCCCCGGGGGUGUGGGCCUGCCGCAGUGGGCAUUCAGAUGGCACAAUGCUGUUCAUGAAUCCACUGAAACAUAAUGUUGGAAUUGUACAUUGGAGAGCUUUUACAAAGCAGUAGUGAAAUAUUAAGUCCUGGAAAAUUAAGCUUACGAGGAUUUUGUUGAGCAAAGUCGUUCUCACAUAUCCCAGGCUGCUGCAACUGAAUCGUCUACUGCAAUCUCCAAGGCCCCAAUAGAAAGAGUUUCUUCACGUAAACAAGCCUGUUCACACACACACAAGAGAGAAGUAGUCACUCCCGUGUUGGUGUAAUCUCUCUGAGCAGCUUCUCAGACACCCUAAGGCUGUACUCUUGAAGUUGUGCACCCAUACCUGACAUGUGUACAGUGGUUUUAAGAAUAUUUUGUUAACGUUUUGCUAACUACUGAAAUAAAUUGUUCAUAAAUUA